GGGGGCGACUGGCUUCGACGGGAAUACUGAAGCCCAAGGUGCAUGUCGAGGAUAAUAGCUCACCUCGUUAAUAUCGCUAUUAUUUGCUUAUAACUGGCAAAAACAAAAAGGCCCUAGUGGCUGCAAACGAUGCUGUAUUCGCUGCUCGCAAGGUAGCGUAAUCGUCAACUAAACACUGACACAUCGGCGUGAUUAUAUAAGUGCUUAUUCUUAUAUAACGCGCUAAUAGUGAAUAAGCUCGCUGGCUGAAUUGUCUGAUUUCAGUUGGUUAAAAAGUUAAUCAGGCUCAUAGUCUCGUAACCAGGUUGACUGAGGGGACCCGACUAUUAAGCUUAAUCAGUUGACUACACAUGUAGAUCCAAAGGUAGAUGGUUUUCGGACGCGGGUUCAAUUCCCGCCGCCUCCACCA
This 409-nucleotide transfer-messenger RNA is filed under the name Gammaproteobacteria bacterium. It matches the Rfam family "transfer-messenger RNA". Rfam says of the family: Bacterial tmRNA, also known as 10Sa RNA or SsrA, is named for its dual tRNA and mRNA-like properties. Its role is to liberate the mRNA from a stalled ribosome. The record is from RNAcentral. Lineage: Bacteria; Pseudomonadati; Pseudomonadota; Gammaproteobacteria.